This 587-nucleotide long non-coding RNA is filed under the name Rhinopithecus bieti (black snub-nosed monkey). RNAcentral describes it as "lncRNA (ENSRBIG00000046580.1)". The record is from RNAcentral. Lineage: Eukaryota; Metazoa; Chordata; Mammalia; Primates; Cercopithecidae.
UAUUUCAUGUAGACUCAACAGCCCCAGUUGAUAGCGUCAUGGAGGUGCUGACAGGUGCCCAGCGGUGGUGCAGUGUGAUUAAUUCAAUGUGCUGUUGCAAUUAGCCCAUCAAAGUCAUUGGGAGAUCAGUGUUUCUCCCGCUGUCACGAGGUGAACCCAACUUGUCUCAGCUUUAAAAAAAGGAAGAAAAAUAUAUUUCGGGGCCCUCCCAUGCUUGAAAAGAAGGUGAAAAGGGAGAGCUGGUACCCACCAGGGGAACCCGGUGAUGUCCCGUCAUGCAGAGGGAAUUCAGGGAGAAGACUCCUGGGAGAAAGCUAACCUGAGUAGGACAGCCAAGAUUUCUCCUUCUCAAUGAUCUUUUUAUGAACUUGGACUAACAGAGUGUGGAAGCUGAUUGGGUCUCCCUGGAUCAUCUCCUUUAUUUGGAAGUGAGUAAAUGGAGGCAUAGAGGGAGUGAGGACAGUGUCCAAGGCUCCUCAGUGGCUCAGUGAUCCAGAGAGAAUGAGGACCAGCUCUGCAGUUUUCCAGGUUAGUUUCCCUUUCAUUGUAUCCAUGAGACUGGGCUCAUGAAAACAUGAUACAACUCG